RNAcentral lists this ribosomal RNA (496 nucleotides) under uncultured bacterium. RNAcentral's name for it is "partial 16S ribosomal RNA". It matches the Rfam family "Bacterial small subunit ribosomal RNA", at positions 28 to 506 of the family's 1533-position model. The record is from RNAcentral.
GAUGAACGCUGGCGGCGUGCCUAAUACAUGCAAGUCGAGCGAACAGACGAGGAGCUUGCUCCUCUGACGUUAGCGGCGGACGGGUGAGUAACACGUGGAUAACCUACCUAUAAGACUGGGAUAACUUCGGGAAACCGGAGCUAAUACCGGAUAAUAUAUUGAACCGCAUGGUUCAAUAGUGAAAGACGGUUUUGCUGUCACUUAUAGAUGGAUCCGCGCCGCAUUAGCUAGUUGGUAAGGUAACGGCUUACCAAGGCAACGAUGCGUAGCCGACCUGAGAGGGGGAUGGGCCACAGUGGAACUGAGACACGGUCCAGAACCCUACGGGAGGCAGCAGGAGGGAAUCUUCCGAAAUGGGCGAAAGCCUGACGGAGCAACGCCGGGGGAGUGAUGAAGGGCUUCGGAUCGGAAAACGUUUUUAUUAGGGAAGAAAAAAUGUGUAAGUAACUAUGCACGUCUGGACGGUACCUAAGCAGAAAGCCACGGCUAACUACGU